This 1287-nucleotide ribosomal RNA is filed under the name Triticum aestivum (bread wheat). Its description in RNAcentral is "partial small subunit ribosomal RNA". The record is from RNAcentral. Lineage: Eukaryota; Viridiplantae; Streptophyta; Magnoliopsida; Poales; Poaceae.
AUGAAUCUUGUAAGCUAUGAAUAUGUUGCCUGUCAAGAAUCAAAUAAAGGUGUUCUGAUACUGAGUGAGUUUGCAUGGGCAGCGCAAUCUCUUGGGGCUGGUGCUAUUGUAGUAAACCCAUGGAAUACUGCGGAAGUAGCAGGGGCAAUAAAACAUGCUUUGGAUAUGUUACCUGAUGAAAGGGAGCGACGUCACAAGCAUAAUUAUAAAAUUGUGUCAGCACACACUGCACAAGAGUGGGCAAAAAACUAUGUCUGGCAGCUAAAUGAUGCAGCAAUUAAAGCUCCGUUAGGAACAGGAGAAAGUCUUCUUGGACUCCCUAUUGAAGAAGCAGCUGAACAAUACGCACAAUCCAAAAGUCGGUUACUCAUAUUGGGUUUUAAUGCGACAUUGACUGAACAGGUCCAAUCUUCUGAGAGAAGGGCUACUGACCAAACCGGGAACACGACACUCAAGUUGAACUCUGGGUUGAAGGGAGCCCUGAAAACCCUUUGUGAUAAUGAGCAUACAACUGUCAUUGUUGUCAGUGGUUAUGGCAAAGAUGUUCUCCAUGAAAAUUUUGGAGAAUUUAAAAUGUGGUUGGCGGCAGAGAAUGGGAUGUUUCUACGACUAAAUGGUGAAGAAUGGUUCACCACAUCAUCUGGACAACUGGAAAUUGGCUUCCGUGAUAGCGUAAAGAAAGUUAUGGAAUACUUCACUAAAAGAACCCCGGAGUCUUAUUGUGAACCACGUGAAACAUCAAUUGUGUGGAACUAUGAAUAUGCAGAGGAUCAUUUUGGAACAAAUCAGGCAAAUGAUAUGCUACAGCACUUGGGGGCAUAUUCAUUGUCAAAUCAAAGUGCUGAGGUUGUUCAAGGCAGCCGGUCAAUUGAAGUGCGCCCUGUGGGAGUCACCAAGGGUAAUGCCAUCGAUAAAAUUAUGCAAGAGUUAGGUCACAGGAAAAUCAUAACCACUCCAAUUGAUUAUGUCUUGUGCAUUGGCCACUUCCUUGCGAAGGAUGAAGACGUCUAUACCUUACCCCAAUUUGAUGUUGAACCUGAAUCGGAAAGAAAAGCAAAGGUGUGGCAAGCAGAUAUCAUGAACAUCAAGUUUAACCUGAAACGUGACAAGUACUUCUCGUGCACUGUUGGGAGGGAAUGUUCUCUAGCACGGUACAAGCUCGAGGGAGCUAGUGAAGUCGCCUCCUUACUGCACAAUCUUGCAUCUGCUGACCGAGGAGAACGUGACGACUCUCGUCCCACGAAGAGACAAAAAGAAGAUCAUGAUUCAGGAGCUAUGAGCGAGUAG